GAUGCUUUUAAAUCCUCAAAUCACUUUCUAAGAAGAUUAGUAUGGCCCUUGCGCAAGGAUGAAACAUAUAAAUCAAAAAAUGGUCCAGGUUUUU
This 94-nucleotide small nuclear RNA is filed under the name Helianthus annuus (common sunflower). The record is from RNAcentral. Lineage: Eukaryota; Viridiplantae; Streptophyta; Magnoliopsida; Asterales; Asteraceae.